RNAcentral lists this ribosomal RNA (1174 nucleotides) under Leotiomycetes sp. genotype 770 JMUR-2016. RNAcentral's name for it is "eukaryotic LSU rRNA". The stretch from base 629 to 1174 matches the Rfam family "Eukaryotic large subunit ribosomal RNA", at positions 1 to 550 of the family's 3401-position model. The record is from RNAcentral. Lineage: Eukaryota; Fungi; Ascomycota; Leotiomycetes.
AUGCUCAACAUGCGGAAAAAUCCUCCUACCCGGAGGAAAACCCGCAGCCCACUUCGCCUACCCGGCGGAGUCGGUUCAGAGACUCGAUGAGCGUGGGUGCGGCCCUACUGGCCGCGCUUGAGAUAGAGCCCGUCCCCGCGGUUGACUGCGGGGAGCGAACGGAACCUGCGGAAGGAUCAUUAAUGAAUUCGGGCUUGCCGCUGUGAUGGCCCCCAUUCUCACCCUUUGUAUACUUAUCUCUGUUGCUUCGGCGGGCAAUGCGCCCGUCAGAGGACCUUAAACUCUUGAAUUAGUGAUGUCUGAGUAGCUAUAUAAUAGUUAAAACUUUCAACAACGGAUCUCUUGGUUAGACCAUCGAUGAAGAACGCAGCGAAAUGCGAUAAGUAAUGUGAAUUGCAGAAUUCAGUGAAUCAUCGAAUCUUUGAACGCACAUUGCGCUCCCUGGUAUUCCGGGGAGCAUGCCUGUUCGAGCGUCAUUACAACCCUCACGCUCCGCGUGGUAUUGGGCUCGCCCAGCUGGGCCUGCCUCAAAGCUAGUGGCGGCUUCUUCAGAACCCCUAAGCGUAGUAAUGCUACCCGCUUGUGGAGGCUGGAGCGGCUUGCUAGGAACCCCCACACUUUUAAAGGUUGACCUCGGAUCAGGUAGGGAUACCCGCUGAACUUAAGCAUAUCAAUAAGCGGAGGAAAAGAAACCAACAGGGAUUGCCUCAGUAACGGCGAGUGAAGCGGCAACAGCUCAAAUUUGAAAGCUGGCUCCUUCGGGGCCCGCGUUGUAAUUUGUAGAGGAUGCUUCGGCGGCGGUGCCGGUCUAAGUUCUUUGGAACAAGACGUCACAGAGGGUGAGAAUCCCGUAUGCGACUGGUCGCCUGUCGCCAUGUGAAGCUCCUUCGACGAGUCGAGUUGUUUGGGAAUGCAGCUCUAAAUGGGUGGUGUACUUCAUCUAAAGCUAAAUAUUGGGUCUAGACCGAUAGCGCACAAGUAGAGUGAUCGAAAGAUGAAAAGCACUUUGGAAAGAGAGUUAAACAGUACGUGAAAUUGUUGAAAGGGAAGCGCUUGCAAUCAGACUUGCGCUGCGCCGAUCAGCCUGGGUUCUCCCUGGUGCACUCGGCGCAGCUCAGGCCAGCAUCAGUUUCGGCGGUUGGAUAAAGGCCUAGGGAAUGUGGGUUGUUUCGGC